Molecule: non-coding RNA, 90 nt
Organism: Hordeum vulgare subsp. vulgare (domesticated barley)
Lineage: Eukaryota; Viridiplantae; Streptophyta; Magnoliopsida; Poales; Poaceae
Source: Rfam
GCGAGGUGGUGAUGUUUAUGUAUGAUAGUCUGUCAAUCCCCUGAUGUCACAAUGUGAAGACACGCAUACAUCCCGACAGGCUCUGAUCGC